AUACAUAGGUGGCAAGCGUUGUCCGGAAUUAUUGGGCGUAAAGCGCAUGUAGGCGGUAAUUUAAGUCUGUCGUGAAACUGCGGGGCUCAGCCCCGUAUGGCGAUGGAAACUGGGUUACUUGAGUGCAGGAGAGGAAAGGGGAACUCCCAGUGUAGCGGUGAAAUGCGUAGACAUUGGGAAGAACACCGGUGGCGAAGGCGCCUUUCUGGACUGUGUCUGACGCUGAGAUGCGAAAGCCAGGGUAGCGAACGGGAUUAGAUACCCCGGUAGUCCUGGCCGUAAACGAUGGGUACUAGGUGUGGGAGGUAUCGACCCCUUCCGUGCCGGAGUUAACGCAAUAAGUACCCCGCCUGGGGAGUACGGCCGCAAGGCUUAAACUCAAAGGAAUUGACGGGG
Molecule: ribosomal RNA, 396 nt
Filed under: uncultured bacterium
Lineage: Bacteria
Description: partial 16S ribosomal RNA
Rfam family: Bacterial small subunit ribosomal RNA
Source: RNAcentral